UACGUAGGUGGCAAGCGUUGUCCGGAAUUAUUGGGCGUAAAGCGCGCGCAGGCGGUCCUUUAAGUCUGAUGUGAAAGCCCACGGCUCAACCGUGGAGGGUCAUUGGAAACUGGGGGACUUGAGUACAGAAGAGGAGGGUGGAAUUCCUGGUGUAGCGGUGAAAUGCGUAGAUAUCAGGAGGAACACCGGUGGCGAAGGCGGCCCUCUGGACGGUGACUGACGCUGAGACGCGAAAGCGUGGGGAGCAAACAGG
This 253-nucleotide ribosomal RNA is filed under the name uncultured bacterium. Its description in RNAcentral is "partial 16S ribosomal RNA". It matches the Rfam family "Bacterial small subunit ribosomal RNA", at positions 524 to 776 of the family's 1533-position model. The record is from RNAcentral.